GAUGAACGCUAGCGGCAGGCUUAACACAUGCAAGUCGAGGGGUAUUUGUCUUCGGACAGAGAGACCGGCGCACGGGUGCGUAACGCGUAUGCAACCUACCUUUUACAGAGGGAUAGCCCAGAGAAAUUUGGAUUAAUACCUCAUAGUAUACAGAGUUGGCAUCAACACUGUAUUAAAGUUCCAACGGCAAAAGAUGAGCAUGCGUCCCAUUAGCUAGUUGGUAAGGUAACGGCUUACCAAGGCAACGAUGGGUAGGGGUCCUGAGAGGGAGAUCCCCCACACUGGUACUGAGACACGGACCAGACUCCUACGGGAGGCAGCAGUGAGGAAUAUUGGACAAUGGGCGCAAGCCUGAUCCAGCCAUGCCGCGUGCAGGAUGACGGUCCUAUGGAUUGUAAACUGCUUUUGUACAGGAAGAAACACUCCCUCGUGAGGGAGCUUGACGGUACUGUAAGAAUAAGGAUCGGCUAACUCCGUGCCAGCCGCCGC
RNAcentral lists this ribosomal RNA (489 nucleotides) under uncultured bacterium. RNAcentral's name for it is "bacterial SSU rRNA". It matches the Rfam family "Bacterial small subunit ribosomal RNA", at positions 28 to 518 of the family's 1533-position model. The record is from RNAcentral.